CUACGGGGGGCAGCAGGGGGGAAACUUCUACAAUGCACGAAAGUGUGAUAGAGCAAGCCAGAGUGAUUCUCUAUAAUUGAGAAUCUUUUGUGAGAUGUAAAAAGUCUCACGAAUAAGGACUGGGCAAGACUGGUGCCAGCCGCCGCGGUAAUACUAGCGGUCCAAGUCGCAAUCAUUUUUAUUGGGUCUAAAACAUCCGUAGCUUGCUUUGUCAGUCUCCUGUGAAAUCCUGCGUCUUAAGCGUAGAAGUGCAAGAGAUACUGCAGAGCUAGAGACCGGGAGACGUAAGGAGUACGAUUAGGGUAGCGGUUAAAUGCGUUGAUCCUUUUCGGACUAUCGAUAGCGAAGGCACCUUACGAGAACGGAUCUGACAGUGAGGGAUGAAGGCUAGGGGCGCAAAACGGAUUAGAUACCCCAGUAGUC
RNAcentral lists this ribosomal RNA (423 nucleotides) under uncultured archaeon. RNAcentral's name for it is "partial 16S ribosomal RNA". It matches the Rfam family "Archaeal small subunit ribosomal RNA", at positions 323 to 746 of the family's 1478-position model. The record is from RNAcentral.